AUAUUUUCCAGUCUUUUGGCUAAGAUCAAGUGUAGUAUCUACUUCUAUAAGUUUAAUAUCAUAUAUGUCCUUUCUCUGUGGACAAUAUGUUACAUUGAUUCUAGGAGCAAAACAUUGGAUAGGGACUUUCUUUGCCCAUGGUAUUGGACCUUGUAUUGCAGUACUUUUGGAAAUGAUAGACUUCC
Molecule: small nuclear RNA, 185 nt
Organism: Sorex araneus (European shrew)
Lineage: Eukaryota; Metazoa; Chordata; Mammalia; Eulipotyphla; Soricidae
Product: U2 spliceosomal RNA
Exons: 1
Source: RefSeq, a predicted model, not a curated record